This 514-nucleotide ribosomal RNA is filed under the name uncultured bacterium. RNAcentral's name for it is "bacterial SSU rRNA". It matches the Rfam family "Bacterial small subunit ribosomal RNA", at positions 28 to 525 of the family's 1533-position model. The record is from RNAcentral.
GACGAACGCUGGCGGCGUGCCUAAUACAUGCAAGUCGAGCGGACAGAAGGGAGCUUGCUCCCGGAAGUUAGCGGCGGACGGGUGAGUAACACGUAGGUAACCUGCCCCUUAGACUGGGAUAACUCCGGGAAACCGGAGCUAAUACGGGAUAAUAAAGAGAAUCACCUGAUUCUCUUUUGAAAGACGGUUUCGGCUGUCACUAAGGGAUGGGCCUGCGGCGCAUUAGCUAGUUGGUAAGGUAACGGCUUACCAAGGCGACGAUGCGUAGCCGACCUGAGAGGGUGAUCGGCCACACUGGGACUGAGACACGGCCCAGACUCCUACGGGAGGCAGCAGUAGGGAAUCUUCCGCAAUGGACGAAAGUCUGACGGAGCAACGCCGCGUGAGUGAGGAAGGCCUUCGGGUCGUAAAGCUCUGUUGUGAGGGAAGAACAAGUACCGGCGUAACUACCGGUACCUUGACGGUACCUCACCAGAAAGCCACGGCUAACUACGUGCCAGCAGCCGCGGUAACA